GCAGUCGACGAGAAGCUUCCUUCGGGAAGUAAGUAGAGUGGCGCACGGGUGAGUAACGCGUAGGUAAUCUACCCUUAUGACUGGGAUAACAUUGGGAAACUGGUGCUAAUACCGGAUACACUUCUUUACUGCGGGGUAAAGGAGGAAAGGUGGCCUCUUCAUGAAAGCUACCGUAUAGGGAUGAGCCUGCGUACCAUUAGCUAGUAGGCGGGGUAACGGCCCACCUAGGCAACGAUGGUUAGCGGGUCUGAGAGGAUGAUCCGCCACACUGGAACUGGAACACGGACCAGACUCCUACGGGAGGCAGCAGUGAGGAAUAUUGCGCAAUGGGGGAAACCCUGACGCAGCGACGCCGCGUGAGUGAGGAAGGUUUUCGGAUCGUAAAGCUCUGUCAGAAGGGAAGAAGUGUUAUAUGUUUAAUACGCAUAUAAUUUGACGGUACCUUCAGAGGAAGCACCGGCUAACUCCGUGCCAGCAGCCGCGGUAAUACGGAGGGUGCAAGCGUUGUUCGGAAUUACUGGGCGUAAAGGGCGCGUAGGCGGCUGGAUAAGUCAGAUGUGAAAGUCCAUGGCUCAACUGUGGAAGUGCAUUUGAAACUGUCCGGCUUGAGUAUCGGAGGGGAGUGUGGAAUUCCCGGUGUAGAGGUGAAAUUCGUAGAGAUCGGGAGGAACACCGGUGGCGAAGGCGACGCUCUGGACGAAUACUGACGCUGAGGCGCGAAAGCGUGGGGAGCAAACAGGAUUAGAUACCCUGGUAGUCCACGCCGUAAACGAUGUGAACUAGG
RNAcentral lists this ribosomal RNA (784 nucleotides) under uncultured delta proteobacterium. Its description in RNAcentral is "bacterial SSU rRNA". It matches the Rfam family "Bacterial small subunit ribosomal RNA", at positions 57 to 820 of the family's 1533-position model. The record is from RNAcentral. Lineage: Bacteria; Deltaproteobacteria.